UGUUGGGGAAUGUGUUAAUUGUAGGGGUGCCCAUGGAGCUGGGAAUCAGAAAUGUCCCAUGCGAAAGAGGCAGGUUGAGGUUUCCAGGGUUAGAGUAGUGCAGAAGUUGUCAUAUGCUGAGGCAGUGAAGAAAGUAGAGGAAGAUGUGUUAAGGGGUAGGAGUGGUGAGAGUAGUAGAGACAUACCAAUACAGAGUAAGAUUGGAUUUUUAACAUUUAUAGAAAUGGUUACCAAUUGUACUGCAGGGAUGGACCGGAAGUCUCGGAAAAUUGAGUUUGUGUUGGCAGCGGCAGAGAGGUAUUUGGGUGUGCGACACUUGACAUCAGAGGAGUUACAGGAUGUGUUAAGUGGCGAUGUCCCAUCCUUUCAGGAUGAUGGCAUGAGGUAGGAAUAAAUACAUUUAAUUAGUGGAGUAGGGUAGUGUUAAUUUUAUAUAAUUUUUAAAUUAGUGAGUAGUGUUAGAUGGUAGGGUAUUUAUUUAGUACAUUUUUUUUUUCAAGUAUAAGUAGGUGGCGGUAAUGCAACAAAUUGGAUGCAAACCGCCGUUUAAACCUCAGAAGAAGAAAUUGUGCCUUGUACUAACAGGUACAUUUCAUGUGUUGAAUGUACCACAUUGUAGCCCCUCCCACCUCAAUUUCCGUGAGUUUGUUGCGAUUUUACCAGGAGAACAGGCUAGCUCCCUGCAGAAUCUAGACAAUAGAGAAUGGGGAAUAAGAUCUGGCUGUUGCAGUGCCCAGACGAGGUGAGCGCAAACUGCUACAUAGAUAAAAAGGAAUCUCUAAAUGCUAUGUUGAAUGAGCGCCGCGGAUGAAGGACAGGGAGGAAAACGGACAACUUCUUUCUACCACACCUUCCAAGUCAUACAAUGUUUGCUUCAUGAACAAUUGUUACAUCAGAAAUAAAUACAGAACUAUUUUAGUUUAUUCUGUUUCUGUUUUUUAUGCUGGAUGUGAGUAAUUUAGCAGGUCUAUAGUAUAAUGUAUUGUUUUUAAACAUUAAAUAUCUAUUCAGUCAAAACUCACUUAUUUUAUGUUUGCUAAAAUGUGUUUUCUACUGUUACUUUUUACAUACUGAUACAGUCUCAUUUGUUUUGAGCUAGACUAUGAGUUGGAAAUGUGUACUGUAAAUGUCUACUACCCUGUUUAAAGAUUUUAUGAUUGAAAUUAGCACAGUUUUUUUAAUAGUUUGUUUCUACUGUCUGGUGAGGAAGUGGGCAAUAUGGAUACAUUGGAGGAGGAAGGGAGAAUUAAUGACAAAUCAGAACUUGGACAAUGUCAGGGAAUCAAUAGGUAAAUGUACAGCCUAUCAAUGACAAAAUUAACGGGUUCAGAGGUAGCUGUCAUGUCUGGCAUCAUUAAAGUGAAAAUGUAUUUUAUCAAA
Molecule: long non-coding RNA, 1380 nt
Organism: Salmo salar (Atlantic salmon)
Lineage: Eukaryota; Metazoa; Chordata; Actinopteri; Salmoniformes; Salmonidae
Source: RefSeq, a predicted model, not a curated record